This 147-nucleotide small nuclear RNA is filed under the name Cavia porcellus (domestic guinea pig). RNAcentral describes it as "U2 spliceosomal RNA". It matches the Rfam family "U2 spliceosomal RNA". From Rfam's summary of the family: U2 is a small nuclear RNA (snRNA) component of the spliceosome (involved in pre-mRNA splicing). The record is from Rfam by way of RNAcentral. Lineage: Eukaryota; Metazoa; Chordata; Mammalia; Rodentia; Caviidae.
UUUGCUUCUCAGCCUUUUGGCUAAGAUCAAGUGUAAAAUUCUUUCGGCUCAUGUGUUUCUGGUUUUCAUUUCAUUUAUUUUUGCAGUGCCAGGGUUUGAACCCAGGGCACUGCAAAUGCUACACAAACACCCUGAGCUAUACCCCCA